UUACUGCUAAGUGGUUUACAGAGCCAAAACCAUUCUCAGCGAAGUGCCCAAGGAGCUGGGAGGGAACAGAAUUAGAACAGCUGACUUUCACUGGUUAGAGGGAUAUCUCAUACCAUAUGACAUCCAGCAGAAGGAGUUUUGAAGGAGGUAGGAGUUCAUCUCUCUCUUCUGCUGCUCGGGAGGCUAGCUGGGAAUCAAUCGGUCAGCAUGAUAGCACUGUCUCUCUAUGCUUAGGGAGAGGCCUGUCCCGUACAUCCCUCACCCCCACAAGACGCCUACUACAACAGGGUGCGUGGAUGUAGAGCCAUUGCCCAGGCAAUGCCCACACUGCGUCAGCUGCUCUCACGAGAGCUGCCGGGUUGCUGUUAUCUCAGGGUUCCCUGGAUGAAAGAACCAACCGUAACCCACCUGUAUGUCGCGGUCAGUUGCUGCGGUUCUGGCCGGAACAGCUCCGAAGCAG
RNAcentral lists this long non-coding RNA (460 nucleotides) under Gallus gallus (chicken). RNAcentral's name for it is "lncRNA (ENSGALG00010001014.1)". The record is from RNAcentral. Lineage: Eukaryota; Metazoa; Chordata; Aves; Galliformes; Phasianidae.